ACAGAUCGAAUUCAACAAUUAUCACAGAUCGGAUUCAACAAGAUGAAAAAGAAAAAGAAGAAAAAUCAUCACAGAUAAAAAAAAAUCAUCCCGCUCCCUGCCAUGGCCGCCGUCGUGGCGCUCUGCGCCGCCUCCUACCUCCUCGGCCGCGCCCUCCCGACCGCCGCCGGCUCCUCCAUGGCUUGCUUUUGCUCCUCCUCCUCCUUCCCUGCAGCAAAGAGGAAUCAAAUCACACAAAAACAGCUCCUUUCUUCCUCUAGGCUUUGAUUUCUCCUUACCUCCGUGAGCUUCUUGAGGGGGUGAGGCUCUCGAUUGGGGAAACAAGAACCACACCAAAAGCAAAACAAACAGAGAGAAAGCAAGAACCACACCAAAACAGGCUGUCCACUCCCGCCGCCCCCGCCGCUCCCGAGUCCACGCACCCGCCUAUUGUCCAUCUCCAUGGCGGGUGGCGGCGAGGCCGGUGGUGGUGGCCGAAUCAAGGGGUCCGCGCCGCCGCACGAGACGCGAGGCGAGUGGAGGCGCGGCGAGGCGAGGAGAAGCGGUGCGGCGCAGCGAGGAGUGGAGCCGACGCCGGACGAGGAGGAGGAGCGGAGCCGGCGCCGCCGGACGGGGAGGAGGCAACGGGAAUGGCGACCGGGAGGAGGAGAAAGCGAUGGAGGGGAGAGUGAGGAGAAGACGAGUCGAGGGUAGGUGGGGAAAUUAUUUCCCCCACUACCCGUAUCCGCGAGCCCGAGAUCACGCCCACUGUGAUGUCGGUUACCUCCUAUACUAUAUUCAUCCAAUUAAACCACACAACUAAAGGUGCUUAUUAUGUGAGAUGGGUGUUUUUGAGAUAACUUUUGAGGCUAG
This 852-nucleotide long non-coding RNA is filed under the name Oryza sativa (Asian cultivated rice). RNAcentral describes it as "long non-coding RNA (OSAT_LNC000156)". Lineage: Eukaryota; Viridiplantae; Streptophyta; Magnoliopsida; Poales; Poaceae. The record is from RNAcentral.